Molecule: ribosomal RNA, 433 nt
Filed under: uncultured bacterium
Lineage: Bacteria
Description: bacterial SSU rRNA
Rfam family: Bacterial small subunit ribosomal RNA
Source: RNAcentral
GAACGCGAAGAACCUUACCUGGUCUUGACAUGUACGGAAUCCUCCAGAGACGGAGGAGUGCCUUCGGGAGCCGUAACACAGGUGCUGCAUGGCUGUCGUCAGCUCGUGUCGUGAGAUGUUGGGUUAAGUCCCGCAACGAGCGCAACCCUUGUCAUUGGUUGCCAUCAUUUAGUUGGGCACUCUAAUGAGACUGCCGGUGACAAGCCGGAGGAAGGUGGGGAUGACGUCAAGUCCUCAUGGCCCUUAUGACCAGGGCUUCACACGUCAUACAAUGGUCGGUACAGAGGGUAGCCAAGCCGCGAGGUGGAGCCAAUCUCAUAAAACCGAUCGUAGUCCGGAUUGCACUCUGCAACUCGAGUGCAUGAAGUCGGAAUCGCUAGUAAUCGCAGGUCAGCAUACUGCGGUGAAUACGUUCCCGGGUCUUGUACACACC